RNAcentral lists this ribosomal RNA (484 nucleotides) under uncultured bacterium. RNAcentral's name for it is "partial 16S ribosomal RNA". It matches the Rfam family "Bacterial small subunit ribosomal RNA", at positions 29 to 507 of the family's 1533-position model. The record is from RNAcentral.
AUUGAACGCUGGCGGCAGGCUUAACACAUGCAAGUCGAGCGGAUGAAGGGAGCUUGCUCCUGGAUUCAGAGGCGGACGGGUGAGAAAUGCCUAGGAAUCUGCCUGGUCGUGGGGGAUAACGUCCGGAAACGGGCGCUAAUACCGCAUACGUACUGAGGGAGAAUGAGGGGGAUCUUCGGACCUCACGCUAUCAGAUGAGCAUAGGUCGGAUUAGCUAGUUGGUGGGGUAAAGGCCUACCAAGGCGACGAUCCGUAACUGGUCUGAGAGGAUGAUCAGUCACACUGGAACGGAGACACGCUCCAAACGCCCACGGGAGGCAGCAGUGGGGAAAAGGGGACAAGGGGCGAAAGCCUGAUCCAGCCAGGCCGAGUGUGUGAAGAAGGUCUUCGGAGUGUAAAGCACAGUAUGUUGGGAGGAAGGGCAGUAAGUUAAGACCUUGCUGAUAUGACGUUACCAACAGAAGAAGCACCGGCUAACUUCGUG